GGAGGUGGUAGCUCAGUGGUAGAGUGUAUCUGUAUGUAUGAUGUCCUGGGUUCAAUCCCCAGCUUCUCUCCA
Molecule: non-coding RNA, 72 nt
Organism: Dallia pectoralis (Alaska blackfish)
Lineage: Eukaryota; Metazoa; Chordata; Actinopteri; Esociformes; Umbridae
Source: the annotation of a GenBank genome assembly